CCUACGGGAGGCAGCAGUGAGGAAUAUUGGUCAAUGGGCGCAAGCCUGAACCAGCCAAGUCGCGUGAAGGAUGACUGCCCUACGGGUUGUAAACUUCUUUUGUAAGGGAGUAAAGUGAGGCACGUGUGCCUGUUUGUAUGUACUUUAUGAAUAAAGCUCGGCCAAAUCCGUGCCAGCAGCCGCGGUAAUACGGAGGAACCGGGCGUUAUCCGGAUUUAUUGGGUUUAAAGGGAGCGUAGAUGGGUUGUUAAGUCAGUUGUGAAAGUUCGCGGCUCAACCGUAAAAUUGCAAUUGAUACUGGCAGCCUUGAGUACAGUUGAGGUAGGCGGAAUUCGUGGUGUAGCGGUGAAAUGCUUAGAUAUCACGAAGAACUCCGAUUGCGAAGGCAGCCUACUAAACUGCCACUGACAUUGAUGCUCGAAAGUGUGGGUAUCAAACAGGAUUAGAUACCCUUGUAGUC
RNAcentral lists this ribosomal RNA (460 nucleotides) under uncultured bacterium. RNAcentral's name for it is "partial 16S ribosomal RNA". It matches the Rfam family "Bacterial small subunit ribosomal RNA", at positions 338 to 795 of the family's 1533-position model. The record is from RNAcentral.